RNAcentral lists this ribosomal RNA (308 nucleotides) under Alphaproteobacteria bacterium. RNAcentral describes it as "bacterial SSU rRNA". It matches the Rfam family "Bacterial small subunit ribosomal RNA", at positions 1 to 339 of the family's 1533-position model. The record is from RNAcentral. Lineage: Bacteria; Pseudomonadati; Pseudomonadota; Alphaproteobacteria.
AAACUUGAGAGUUUGAUCCUGGCUCAGAACGAACGCUGGCGGCAGGCUUAACACAUGCAAGUCGAGCGCCCCGCAAGGGGAGCGGCAGACGGGUGAGUAACGCGUGGGAAUCUACCUAUCUCUACGGAACAACUCCGGGAAACUGGAGCUAAUACCGUAUACGCCCUUCGGGGGAAAGAUUUAUCGGAGAUGGAUGAGCCCGCGUUGGAUUAGCUAGUUGGUGGGGUAAAGGCCUACCAAGGCGACGAUCCAUAGCUGGUCUGAGAGGAUGAUCAGCCACAUUGGGACUGAGACACGGCCCAAACUCC